RNAcentral lists this ribosomal RNA (253 nucleotides) under uncultured bacterium. Its description in RNAcentral is "partial 16S ribosomal RNA". It matches the Rfam family "Bacterial small subunit ribosomal RNA", at positions 524 to 776 of the family's 1533-position model. The record is from RNAcentral.
UACGUAGGGGGCUAGCGUUGUCCGGAAUCAUUGGGCGUAAAGAGCGUGUAGGCGGCUUGGUAAGUCCGCUGUGAAAGUCCAGGGCUCAACCCUGGAAAGCCAGUGGAAACUGUCAAGCUAGAGUCCGGAAGAGGCGAGUGGAACUCCUGGUGUAGCGGUGAAAUGCGCAGAUAUCAGGAGGAACACCGGUGGCGAAGGCGGGUCUCUGGGCCGAAACUGACGCUGAGGAGCGAAAGCGUGGGGAGCGAACAGG